This 497-nucleotide ribosomal RNA is filed under the name uncultured bacterium. RNAcentral describes it as "partial 16S ribosomal RNA". It matches the Rfam family "Bacterial small subunit ribosomal RNA", at positions 28 to 507 of the family's 1533-position model. The record is from RNAcentral.
GAUGAACGCUGGCGGCGUGCCUAAUACAUGCAAGUCGAGCGAACGGACGAGAAGCUUGCUUCUCUGAUGUUAGCGGCGGACGGGUGAGUAACACGUGGAUAACCUACCUAUAAGACUGGGAUAACUUCGGGAAACCGGAGCUAAUACCGGAUGAUAUUUUGAACCGCAUGGUUCAAAAGUGAAAGACGGUCUUGCUGUCACUUAUAGAUGGAUCCGCGCUGCAUUAGCUAGUUGGUAAGGUAACGGCUUACCAAGGCAACGAUGCAUAGCCGACCUGAGAGGGUGAUCGGCCACACUGGAACUGAGACACGGUCCAGACUCCUACGGGAGGCAGCAGUAGGGAAUCUUCCGCAAUGGGCGAAAGCCUGACGGAGCAACGCCGCGUGAGUGAUGAAGGUCUUCGGAUCGUAAAACUCUGUUAUUAGGGAAGAACAUAUGUGUAAGUAACUGUGCACAUCUUGACGGUACCUAAUCAGAAAGCCACGGCUAACAACGUG